GGAUAAGCGGAAGAAAUUCCGUCUAAUACCGCAUAACACCUUUAGGAGACAUCUUCUUGGGGUCAAAGGAGGCGACUCCGGCAUAGGAUGGCCAUGCGUCGCAUUAGCUAGUCGGCGGGGUAACGGCCCACCGAGGCGACGAUGCGUAGGGGUUCUGAGAGGAAGGUCCCCCACACUGGUACUGAGACACGGACCAGACUCCUACGGGAGGCAGCAGUGAGGAAUAUUGGUCAAUGGGCGCAAGCCUGAACCAGCCAAGUCGCGUGAGGGAUGACGGUCCUAUGGAUUGUAAACCUCUUUUGUCGGGGAGCAAGGCGCGGUACGAGUACCGUGAAGGAGAGUACCCGAAGAAAAAGCAUCGGCUAACUCCGUGCCAGCAGCCGCGGUAAUACGGAGGAUGCGAGCGUUAUCCGGAUUUAUUGGGUUUAAAGGGUGCGUAGGCGGAUUAGUAAGUCAGCGGUAAAAAUGCGGUGCUCAACGCCGUAUCGCCGUUGAAACUGCGGGUCUUGAGUGAGCGAGAAGUAUGCGGAAUGCGUGGUGUAGCGGUGAAAUGCAUAGAUAUCACGCAGAACUCCGAUUGCGAAGGCAGCAUACCGGCGCUCAACUGACGCUGAGGCACGAAAGCGUGGGGAUCGAACAGGAUUAGAUACCCUGGUAGUCCACGCAGUAAACGAUGAAUGCUAACUGUCCGGACCGAUUAAGGGCUGGGU
Molecule: ribosomal RNA, 710 nt
Filed under: uncultured bacterium
Lineage: Bacteria
Description: bacterial SSU rRNA
Rfam family: Bacterial small subunit ribosomal RNA
Source: RNAcentral